CAUAAUAAUAACUAAAAUUCAUAUAUUGGUCCUGUAAAUCAAAAAUAAGAUAAAUUUUUUAAAAACAU
This 68-nucleotide transfer RNA is filed under the name Maruca vitrata. RNAcentral describes it as "tRNA-Thr". Lineage: Eukaryota; Metazoa; Arthropoda; Insecta; Lepidoptera; Crambidae. The record is from RNAcentral.